CGCCCCUUAGCUCAGUGGUUAGAGCAGGCGACUCAUAAUCGCUUGGUCGUUGGUUCAAACCCAACAGGGGCCACCA
RNAcentral lists this transfer RNA (76 nucleotides) under Klebsiella pneumoniae. RNAcentral describes it as "tRNA-Met". It matches the Rfam family "tRNA". From Rfam's summary of the family: Transfer RNA (tRNA) molecules are approximately 80 nucleotides in length. Their secondary structure includes four short double-helical elements and three loops (D, anti-codon, and T loops). The record is from RNAcentral. Lineage: Bacteria; Pseudomonadati; Pseudomonadota; Gammaproteobacteria; Enterobacterales; Enterobacteriaceae.